AAAUCGGCAUCGAUUAGAUAUUAUAGGUUUACCGCUAAGAGAUGGGUGUGCGGCUGAUUAGGUAGUUGGCGGAGUAAUAGCCCACCAAGCCGACGAUCAGUAGCUGAUGUGAGAGCAUGAUCAGCCACACGGGCACUGAGACACGGGCCCGACUCCUACGGGAGGCAGCAGUAAGGAAUAUUGGACAAUGGACGCAAGUCUGAUCCAGCCAUGCCGCGUGAAGGAUUAAGGCCCUCUGGGUUGUAAACUUCUUUUAUAGGGGACGAAAAAAGGGUUUUCUAGCUCGUCUGACGGUACCCUAUGAAUAAGCACCGGCUAACUCCGUGCCAGCAGCCGCGGUAAUACGGAGGGUGCAAGCGUUAUCCGGAUUCACUGGGUUUAAAGGGUGCGUAGGCGGGCAGUUAAGUCAGUGGUGAAAUCUUCGAGCUCAACUCGGAAACUGCCAUUGAUACUAUCUGUCUUGAAUACUGUGGAGGUGAGCGGAAUAUGUCAUGUAGCGGUGAAAUGCUUAGAUAUGACAUAGAACACCGAUUGCGAAGGCAGCUCGCUACACAAAUAUUGACGCUGAGGCACGAAAGCGUGGGGAUCAAACAGGAUUAGAUACCCUGGUAGUCCACGCCCUAAACUAUGGAUACUCGACAUUUGCGAUACACAGUAAGUGUCUGAGCGAAAGCAUUAAGUAUCCCACCUGGGAAGUACGACCGCAAGGU
Molecule: ribosomal RNA, 710 nt
Filed under: uncultured bacterium
Lineage: Bacteria
Description: bacterial SSU rRNA
Rfam family: Bacterial small subunit ribosomal RNA
Source: RNAcentral